Molecule: long non-coding RNA, 252 nt
Filed under: Lathyrus oleraceus (garden pea)
Lineage: Eukaryota; Viridiplantae; Streptophyta; Magnoliopsida; Fabales; Fabaceae
Description: Pisum sativum (pea) long non-coding RNA (PSAT_LNC010724)
Source: RNAcentral
AAAAGGUAUACAGGAUUUACAACUACCGGGUACUGGGUAGAAAACCAACAACUCUUCUGAGGAAUAAAAGGUAUAUAACCACAAAUUCCGCCAAGAAAAGGGAACAUAGGACUUACAACUACCGGUUAUUGGGUAGAGGCCCAAACUCCGCUGGGGAUAAGAUGAACUAUUACCGGUUACUGGGCAAUUCAUUCAUUUAUUCCACAGGGAAGCACAAAAGACAGUUGAAAAAAUGCCAAUUCAGGAUCAAAC